CCUGGUGGCUCAGACGGUAAAGAAUUUGCCUGAAAUGCAGGAGACCCAGGUUCAAUCCCUGGGUCAGGA
RNAcentral lists this transfer RNA (69 nucleotides) under Ovis aries (sheep). It matches the Rfam family "tRNA". From Rfam's summary of the family: Transfer RNA (tRNA) molecules are approximately 80 nucleotides in length. Lineage: Eukaryota; Metazoa; Chordata; Mammalia; Artiodactyla; Bovidae. The record is from Rfam by way of RNAcentral.